This 73-nucleotide transfer RNA is filed under the name Roseimicrobium gellanilyticum. RNAcentral describes it as "tRNA-Gln". It matches the Rfam family "tRNA". Rfam says of the family: Transfer RNA (tRNA) molecules are approximately 80 nucleotides in length. Their secondary structure includes four short double-helical elements and three loops (D, anti-codon, and T loops). The record is from RNAcentral. Lineage: Bacteria; Pseudomonadati; Verrucomicrobiota; Verrucomicrobiia; Verrucomicrobiales; Verrucomicrobiaceae.
AGCCCUGUAGCUCAACUCGCAGAGCGCCCGGCUUUGGCCCGGGAGGUUGAUGGUGCAAAUCCAUCCAGGGUUU